GACGAACGCUGGCGGCGUGCUUAACACAUGCAAGUCGAACGAAAAUACCAAGCUUGCUUGGUUGAUUAGUGGCGAACGGGUGAGUAACACGUGAGUAACCUGCCCCUUACUUUCCUGGAUAACUGCUCGAAAGGGUAGCUAAUACGGGAUAUUCUGACCAGCCUGCAUGGGUUGGUUUGGAAAGGUUGUUUUUCUGGUAAGGGAUGGGCUCGCGGCCUAUCAGCUUGUUGGGGGUGAUGGCCUACCAAGGCUUUGACGGGUAGCCGGCCGGAGAGGGUGGACGGUCACACUGGGACUGAGAUACGGCCCAGACUCCUACGGGAGGCAGCAGUGGGGAAUAUUGCACAAUGGGCGCAAGCCUGAUGCAGCGACGCCGCGUGAGGGAUGAAGGCCUUCGGGUUGUAAACCUCUUUCGUCAGGGAACAAGGCACUGCUUUUUUGGUGGUGUUGAGGGUACCUGGAUAAGAAGCGCCGGCUAACUACGUG
RNAcentral lists this ribosomal RNA (486 nucleotides) under uncultured bacterium. Its description in RNAcentral is "partial 16S ribosomal RNA". It matches the Rfam family "Bacterial small subunit ribosomal RNA", at positions 28 to 507 of the family's 1533-position model. The record is from RNAcentral.